CUUGGUGGAGGAGGUGGUGGACUUGGCGGAGGUUUAUAGACAGGAACAUGUGGUGGACUUGGUGGUGAUGGGUUUGGUGGAGAAGGUGGUGGACUUGGCGAAGGUUUAUAGAUAGGAAUAUGUGGUGGACUUGGUGGAGUAGGUGGUGGGCUUGGUGAAGAAGGUGGAGGACUUGGCGGAGGUUUAUAAACGGGAGUAGGUGGUGGGCUUGGUGGAGAAGGUGGUGGACUUGGCGGAGGUUUAUAGAUGGGAGUAGGUGGUGGGCUUGGUGGAGGAGGUGGUGGACUUGGCGGAGGUUUAUAGAUUGGAAUAUGUGGUGGAGGUAGAGUAGGUGGUGGACUUGGCGGAGGUUUAUAGAUAGGAAUAUGUGGUGGAGUUGGUGGAGGAGGUGGUGGACUUGGCGGAGGUUUAUAAACGGGAGUAGGUGGUGGGCUUGGUGGAGUAGGUGGUGGACUUGGCGGAGGUUUAUAAACGGGAGUAGGUGGUGGACUUGGUGGAGUAGGUUGUGGGCUUGGUGGAGGUUUAUAGACAGGAAUAUGUGGUGGACUUGGUGGAGUCGGUGGUGGGUUUGGUGGAGAAGGUGGUGGACUUGGCGGAGGUUUAUAGAUGGGAGUAGGUGGUGGGCUUGGUGGAGGAGGUGGUGGACUUGGCGGAGGUUUAUAGACAGAAGUAGGUGGUGGACUUGGUGGAGGUUUAUAGAUAGGAGUGGGUGGUGAGCUAGGUGGAGGAGGUGGUUGACUUGGCGGGGGUUUAUAGAUGGGAGUAGGUGGUGGGCUUGGAGGAGUAGGUGGUGGACUUGGCGGGGGUUUAUAGAUGGGAGUAGGUGGUGGUGGGCUUGGUGGAGGAGGUGGAGGUGGUGGACUUGGCGGAGGUUUAUAGACGGGAGUAGGUGGUGAACUUGGAGGAGUAGGUGGUGGGCUUGGUGGAGGAGGUGGUGGACUUGGCGGAGGUUUAUAGACGGGAGUAGGUGGUGGACUUGGAGGAGGUUUAUAGAUGGGAGUAGGUGGUGGACUUGGAGGAGUAGGUGGUGGGCUUGGUGGAGGCUUAUAGACGGGAGUAGGUGGUGGGCUUGGUGGAGGAGGUGGUGGACUUGGCGGAGGUUUAUAGAUAGGAGUAGGUGGUGGACUUGGAGGAGGCUUAUAGACGGGAGGAGGUGGUGGACUUGGCGGAGGUUUAUAGAUGGGAGUAGGUGGUGGACUUGGCGGAGGUUUAUAGACGGGAGGAGGUGGUGGACUUGGUGGAGGUUUAUAGAUGGGAGUAGGUGGUGGGCUUGGUGGAGGAGGUGGUGGACUUGGCGGGGGUUUAUAGAUGGGAGUAGGUGGUGGGCUUGGUGGAGGAGGUGGAGGUGGUGGACUUGGCGGAGGUUUAUAGACGGGAGUAGGUGGUGAACUUGGUGGAGGUGGUAGACUUGACGGAGGUUUAUAAACCGGAGUAGGUGGUGGGCUUGGUGGAGGAGGUGGUGGACUUGGCGGAGGUUUAUAGACGGGAGUAGGUGGUGAACUUGGUGGAGGUGGUAGACUUGACGGAGGUUUAUAAACCGGAGUAGGUGGUGGGCUUGGUGGAGGAGGGGGUUGACUUGGCGGAGGUUUAUAGACGGGAGUAGGUGGUGGACUUGUCGGAGGUUUAUAGAUGGGAGUAGGUGGUGGACUUGGAGGAGUAGGUGGUGGGCUUGGUGGAGGAGGUGGUUGGCUUGGUGGAGGCUUAUAGACGGGAGUAGGUGGUGGGCUUGGUGGACUUGGCGGAGGUUUAUAGAUGGGAGUAGGUGGUGGACUUGGCGGAGGUUUAUAGAUGGGAGUAGGUGGUGGACUUGGAGGAGGUUUAUAGAUGGGAGUAGGUGGUGGACUUGGCGGAGGUUUAUAGACGGGAGGAGGUGGUGGACUUGGUGGAGGAGGUGGUGGACUUGGCGGAGGUUUAUAGCUAGGAGUAGGUGGUGGACUUGUAGGAGGAGGUGGUGGACUUGGCGGAGGUGUAUAGAUGGGAGGAGGUGGUGGACUUGGCGGAGGUUUAUAGAUGGGAGUAGGUGGUGGACUUGGUGGAGGAGGCGCCGGACUUGGUGGAGAUGGUGGUGGUUUCUGGUAAGUCGGAGGUGUUUGACCAGGUGGUGGAGAUUCAGGAGGAGCUUGGUCAUAAGCUGAACUUGGUACCACUUUCAAUAGUGAUCUCCUAUAGACCUUUGGUUGAGGGUAAUUUGCAUAAGGCACCUUCUGAGAGGGCCUAUAUGCUGGAUAAGUUUGCUUACGUACCUUAGGAGGUUUUCUCUGUGGACUUGAGGAAGUUCCAUCAAUGAACGAUGAAGGUUGUGAAG
RNAcentral lists this long non-coding RNA (2305 nucleotides) under Capsicum annuum. RNAcentral's name for it is "long non-coding RNA (CANN_LNC016784)". Lineage: Eukaryota; Viridiplantae; Streptophyta; Magnoliopsida; Solanales; Solanaceae. The record is from RNAcentral.